GUACCCUUAGUUAAAUGGAUAUAACGGAAUCCUCCUAAGAUUCUAUUGGCAGUUCGAUUCUGCCAGGGUAUACCA
RNAcentral lists this transfer RNA (75 nucleotides) under Clostridium sp. CAG:349. Its description in RNAcentral is "transfer RNA-Arg(CCT)". It matches the Rfam family "tRNA". Rfam says of the family: Transfer RNA (tRNA) molecules are approximately 80 nucleotides in length. Their secondary structure includes four short double-helical elements and three loops (D, anti-codon, and T loops). RNAcentral also lists the same sequence under 1 other name. Lineage: Bacteria; Bacillati; Bacillota; Clostridia; Eubacteriales; Clostridiaceae. The record is from RNAcentral.